This 223-nucleotide ribosomal RNA is filed under the name Pseudomonas oryzihabitans. RNAcentral describes it as "partial 16S ribosomal RNA". It matches the Rfam family "Bacterial small subunit ribosomal RNA", at positions 1320 to 1533 of the family's 1533-position model. Lineage: Bacteria; Pseudomonadati; Pseudomonadota; Gammaproteobacteria; Pseudomonadales; Pseudomonadaceae. The record is from RNAcentral.
GUGAAGUCGGAAUCGCUAGUAAUCGUGAAUCAGAACGUCACGGUGAAUACGUUCCCGGGCCUUGUACACACCGCCCGUCACACCAUGGGAGUGGGUUGCUCCAGAAGUAGCUAGUCUAACCUUCGGGAGGACGGUUACCACGGAGUGAUUCAUGACUGGGGUGAAGUCGUAACAAGGUAGCCGUAGGGGAACCUGCGGCUGGAUCACCUCCUUAAUCGAAGAU